CGAAAGCCUGAUCCAGCAAUGCCGCGUGAGUGAAGAAGGCCUUCGGGUUGUAAAGCUCUUUUGUCAGGGAAGAAACGAUGAGAGCUAAUAUCUCUUGCUAAUGACGGUACCUGAAGAAUAAGCACCGGCUAACUACGUGCCAGCAGCCGCGGUAAUACGUAGGGUGCAAGCGUUAAUCGGAAUUACUGGGCGUAAAGCGUGCGCAGGCGGUUUUGUAGGUCUGAUGUGAAAUCCCCGGGCUCAACCUGGGAAUUGCAUUGGAGACUGCAAGGCUAGAAUCUGGCAGAGGGGGGUAGAAUUCCA
This 303-nucleotide ribosomal RNA is filed under the name uncultured Gammaproteobacteria bacterium. Its description in RNAcentral is "bacterial SSU rRNA". It matches the Rfam family "Bacterial small subunit ribosomal RNA", at positions 376 to 671 of the family's 1533-position model. The record is from RNAcentral. Lineage: Bacteria; Pseudomonadati; Pseudomonadota; Gammaproteobacteria.